GGUUGAGGCGGGUAAAGACGGUUGCGUAGCUUACUUGGUAAAGUACUCCUUUAGUUUAGCGGUCAUGGAUCGAUUCUAGGUGGUUAACUUGUAUACCCCUAUUCUCAGAGUUCACGUUCUGAUCUAGCAAAUCCACUUUUCAGAUGAGUUCCAUAGUUUUGGACAGGACAGGUGGGAACCAGGAGGUAAAGCGUCUGUUAAAGCAAUCGGGCAAAUGCGUGUAUACUAGCUUACUAGCUUUAGUAGCUUGUGUACUAGCCUGUUAAAGGAAGCAGGGGUACGCUGAUUUGGGAUGCUAACUAAGUAGAUGCGGAAGCGAGGUGCGAAAAGGAGCUCGAUGAGCCUGAAGUCCAGAUGUGCAUCGACAACCGUCUCUUCGAUCUGAAAUAUGCUUUGCAUACGACCCCAGUUUCCUCUUUCGCCAUGCUAUCUUCGUUGGCAAACGGGUGGGUUAGAGCGAGCGCUGGCAGAGCGCAAUGCUGAUCAAACAGCCCGGGAUACUCGCCGCUUCGGUGUUUCGAGCAAGGGUUGUCGCCCUAAAGAGCAGACAGCCGUCGCUGACACAGACGCACCCCAGAAGCAGACGAAAAAGAAAUCCGACAAAGACAAGCCGAAGGAGAAUCUUUCUUCAACUGCGCCCGAGGCUCAAGAGGCCUUGUUGGAGAAGCUGUUACUAUCGAAACUAUACAACAAGCCUAAAAUCAAGAGUCUUCUGUUCCUCUCUCCUCGGUCUAGCCGGUAAAGGCUGAUCGCGGUAAGGGCUGGUUACGAUUGAAAAUACACACUAUUUAAGCGCUUAAGCUUACCAUGAUGAUUGCAGAAGAGGAAGUACGACGAGUACGGUAUGAAAUAGGUUGGCAAAGAACACAGAGUCGUUUUAAGGUCUAAAAACCCGACAGAACUCUUUCUUUCCAGGAAGCCUAUCCCUCUUUUUAUGUAUGAUACCAGUCGAGUACAAAAACGUAGCAACAAUUGCUUGUAAUUGGCCGUUUCCCUUCAUCGACAAAAUACGUUUCCAGCGAGAGAACAGGCUCAGACGGGAGCAGAGCCGAAAGGAGAUCCAUACGUUGAUCCAGUCAAAGAACUAGUGGAUCCCAAACAAGAGUUUGAUUCGUUUGUCUCGAAGAGUAAGAUAAAGGCCUAUUCAACCAACUACUCUUUCUCAACUUUAGGGAUAUUUCAUACUUAUUCCAACUACGGUAAGGAGCUUAAGAACUACAUGAUUCGCCCACUCGUCCCGGAAAGAAUACAAAUUUUUGAAAAAACAAGGUAGGUUUACCGGAUUGAGCUUUAAGCCUAGAACGCCAGAAUGGAUAGACUACCUUUUUUAUUGCCGCCUACCUCUUCCUCAAGCUCUGUCUCCCACUUCUCUGUCACUGCUUGAAAAGAGCUUUUCACCUGAAGAGAGAGAGCCCGCUAUAAGCCCGUGAUCGGACCUUCUUACCAAGAGGGAGAGCCCACCUUUUCGCUUACUGCCUAACUCAAGCUUGUCCAUAGAACGAGCUCCGCUAAGCGACUAGUUUACUGUUGAGAGGUAGCGAAGAGGACAGAUAGGCUAAAGAGAGGUUAGCGCUAGCUAGUGUUAGAGAGCUUGCUGGAUGAGAGCAGAGCAGACUAAUUAGAGGAAGGCGCGAAGCGUAGUAACUUCCGGAAUGAAUGAGUGCAGCAAAGUCUCUUAUCUUCCCCCUACGCCCUAAGAAGGAAAAACUGAGCAAGAUAGCUUCAGCUUCCAUUGAGCGUUGAGAGAGAAAUCGAGAUGUGAGAAAAAGAAUAGCUUUUCUUCAGCUCUUCACUAGCCAUUGCCAAUCCUGUUCUCGAUGGGAAAGCUUUACCUUAAGUGGAGUGGCCAGGCUCUGAUCUGAUUCCUCUUCGCGACUCUGAACGAAUGCUGUCGGCAUUCAAUCAUACAUAUACGAAGUGUGCCGCGAGUCACCUUAGAGAAAGAGAAAGGAACUUAUAAUGAUUGCUAGCAGAUGUUAUGAAAGAAGGGAUAGAAGGAGAAGAGACUGGGGAAUGCUUUUUCACUAUACGAGAAUUCCUCUGAUUCCUCCAUUCCAACCAGGUUUUCAGGAAUAAGCACUGCAAGAAUGGCGAUACCCCCUGCAGUUACCUCUAAAAGGAAUGAUCUCGGGCAUCAAUCUAAAGAGAGUUUGGUAGCUUUCCGGGAAAUUGCCUUAUCUUAUUAAAGGAAAAGGAAGAACUCGCUUUCGCUAGGCACCAAGGCUUCUUACCCUUCUGCUUCUUACCCUUCUGCUUCUUACCCUUGGUAGUGUGCUUGUACAGAGUAGUUUGUUUCACCUCUAAUACCGUUUUGGAAUCAGUAAGAGUUCGCAUCACUGUUUCCUCAGGAAGCAACGCAGUAGACAGCGAUUUCAUCUCAUGACGCAGUUUAGCAAUUUCUGACUCCAUACUAGCAAUACGCUGAGCAUAUUCUUUCUCUUUCUUUUCAAAGAUCUCUUUAAUGAAAGCAUUUUCCUCCUUCAGAAUCUUCAAUUCCAAUUUUAGAAUAGAGCUUUCUUGACCACCGAAGUCUAUUACAUCCUUAGGUUGUGUGUCUACCCAAACAUUGUUAUCAUCAUACACAGGGUCCCUUUUUGUAUCCGCUUGGAUUCCAAGGCUUACUUGGAAAGACUUUUUGGCUAUGUUUAGGGUAUGCCAAUCAAUUCUGAAGUUACCUUUUUCAAAGAGCUGAUUCGGUCACAGGAUUCUCUAACAGGAUUCGUUCAAACAGAAAGAGAACUGCUCCUGCUUCUUAUAAAAGAGAAUCUCUCUUUCAACUCUAGCCAUUCUUGGCUUGGUCACAUGCAACCAUCAAGAAAGAAGCAAGCAUUUAACAAGAAAGCAUCAACCGGAUUCAUUGAACUUAAAAAGCAUUUCGACAUAAAGCAUUUUCACUCGAGCUGAAACAAUUGAUGAAUUACCCGAGGCUUUCCCAGGGGCGGCUGGGCUUGGGUGGGCCUCUUUCUCUUCCUUGCUCUUCGAUAAGGGCGUUGGGCGUCUUACAGAAGAAGAAGGAAAUAAAGUAGGUCAUCCCAUUAUUGCUAAUAAGAAAUUCACGUCCGUCUCUGUGCCUUUUCUGCCUUUGAGAAUGCCCAUUGCUCGGACCUCCUUCUUUUAUUUCAAUAUAAGUUAAAGGCGCUUGUCCGUUGGGGGGUCAUUCCCUCUAGCCGAACGUAGUUUGCGAGUUGGGUCGUUGACUUAUUGGCCUUUCAUCGAAGAGAUCGCGCAUGGGGAGUGAACCUUAUCCCUUUUUUGGAACUUCACCGAGGACAUCGCAUGCUAGAAAGAAUGUCCUUUCUGCGCGUCAUUACGGUUACCUGUUCACUAGUAAUCUGGUCGAAAAAGAUCCAAAAACUAGAACGUCGGUAACAAUCCCGAUCAAUUAGAGGAACGGAGAACUCAUCUCCCACAAUAAGCAACUAUAUAACUCUAAGGAUCGUGUCAUACUGCCUUUCGCUGUGCAACUUCCACCAGCAGUAUGACCUUCUGAAUGCUGCUAGGUUCGGGCCCCAUUCGAUUCCUUUAGAAAAGGAACUUUUAUAUAAAAGGAAGCCGAACCCACCUUCGAUGAUCUUAGACUUCACGUUCUCUUAAAAUUCCAAAUAUCAAUAAAGCUAUCUCAGCUCGACUGUCAUUUUGAAAGCCGAGUCUUCGAGAGGUCUACCGUCUACCGCAUUCACAGACCCUCCUCCUAUCUACCUCCUAUGGGUCCGCGGAUUGCUGCCUGGGGCGAGGCGUGCCUACCACUUACUGUCUGACGGACAAAGGGGCCUACUCCAAGACCCGGGCAACACAAUGUUUCCUCCACUCCGAAGGUCACACUUGCCCUCCGAAAGCCAUUCGUGAGAGGCCGCCCACUAUACUCUCGCUUCGAGCCUUUAUUCGCAGGAGGAUGGCUUGAGACCAAGAUCCCACCCCCAAAGGCCGAUAUCACGUAACCAAAAACCAACUGCCGGUCUGAGCCCGCCAGAAACCCAAUUCGAUUCCAUUGCUUGGCGGCUAGCGUUCCAUUGCUAGGCUUCUAUGCUGGCUGCCGGCUACUAGGAUCAGUGGUUUUCACCCGCACCGAGGUCCCACUUCGGUGACAACACGGCCUCGACCCUCAGUCUUCUACGACCACAGCGGACCGCCGAGGUUCUAUACUAAAGUACGCCCCCUUAAUGAAGGUGUUCGCCUUUAGGACUCACGGUUCAAACGGGAUGCAACCAAGCUCCGUCCCAGGGAUUGCAAGCAACUCGAGCCGCUACGUCGCUCCAAAGACCUCUGCCUACACUCAUGCCAUCUUCCAAGCAAUUCGUUCUCCUCGGCCGCCUUUAAGGCCGCACCCCCCGAUAGAUCCUGGAUAGCCCCGGCGCGGAAAGAACAUGAACGCAUCCGUUUUCUUUCUGUUUGGAUGGCCAGCGGUUCCCGCGUAGACAGGCCCCAGUAGAGUCCGGCUGAGAAGGAUCACCUUUACAAUUCCCAACACAACCCAGAUAAGUGGGCAAGACGCUUCUGCAGGCAGAGGAAGAAAAUCUUCGGCCAAUAUGAGGUCCCCCAUACCUGCACCUGCAGGGCGCCCAAGACAGACACAGAGGUCUCUUUUUUCGGAUUUCGUUUCUCGGAUUAGGGAAAUCCGUGGAGAGAUCGUAGAAGCAGAGAUUCGCCUCGACAGCAAGAAUUUGAAAGGUGACUCAAGGUUAUAAUCCCGACCAGCAGUAUUAAGGGUCACGUUGUCGGAUCCUUUUAGGGGUUUCGAUUUAUCAACUUCUUUCGAAGCCGUGGUUAGUGAUAUCUGGACACUUUUCCAGCCCAACUACUCCGGGGAUAACCGGAAUAGAGCUCCGAGUAUACCUACGAGUCGUUCUAUCUCGUCAUGGGUUUGGCAGCAAGCACCGUACGCUCCUGGGGCGGGACCAAGCCCAUACUUUUGACACCCUUUUCUAUUGAAAUCCCGCUCCUUGGGACCACAGAGCUGCGAAGAUGGGGGGGCUCCUGCGGGUCUACCAUUGGCCAUUCAUUGGGUUACUGGUUCCCGCACGGUCGUCCAUCGGCUUGACCACAGUACGGAUUACCGGAUCGAUAGACUUAAGACACGACCCUGCACUGAGAUAGUUACAUUACUAACAUUUUGAAUUCACUGCAGAACGAGAAGACUAGGAACAAGGAAGAACAAGCAUUGCCGCUUUCCUGCAUUACUCCGUCUGUCCAAUGCCAGUUUGUAACUGAUAUGGACAAUGGGGGUGAUGAGCCAUCCGCAAUACGGUAGCAGUAAGCACGGCUGUCCACCAGAGCCGUCGGAUUCCGUCGGUCGAUCGUCUGGUUCGAAUACCUACCUCUCGCGGAAGGAUUCAGUAAUCGAACGAUGCUGUCGGCAGCGCUUGCGCACCCCAAAGAAUGGAUCCAAUCCAUCCCAAGCACAGCACCAAGUGCCCGCCCGUCUGGCCUCUUAAUAGAAGGAGGUCCUUUUGCGGACCUGCCGAUCUAUACGCUCCCACUCUUUCAAGCAGAAUACUACCGGCUACAGAUCAAAGCACGAUAGCUUAGCCAAACCAAUCCUCACUUACCGACCCUUAAGAAAAAUGACAACUCAAGGGCGUGCCGCCGAGCUCCGGAAUCUCUUCCGCGAUAAGCUAAGAUUGGCCCAACCACGCAAAGGCGAUUUCGAGCACUCACUAUAAUUAUUUUCAAAAAAACUAGGAACAGAGGUCAGAUCCAAAUCCAAUUAGAAAAUAAGGAAAAAAGAAAUAAAAAAAGAACAAGAAAAAACUUGUUUGUACGAGAUUCAACAACCAAUUUAGAUAACCAGACACAUUUAAAGCAAAGAGCGAAUUGACCACUUCCACACAGGACUAGUUUGUAGUUCGAGGUCUGUCCCCCUUGUCGAUUUAGCAAACCAAUGCCUUAAGCCACUCAGCCAUCCUUCCUACCGUAUGGGUGUACUCAGAUAAGAAGUCAGGGAAGUACAGCUAUACGGAAUACGAUGAGAAGUAGAGCAGGCGAAGCGAAGCGAUAACGGAUCUUACUGUCUGGAGAUCGGGUUACGUCGCUAAGGAAGCUGCAGGAUCCCAUGAAUUCGAAGAUUGCCUGCGGAAGUGGAAUAAGCCGAAAAAUGAUGCCUCUCCCUUCUGUCUUGGCUACCAUGCUCUUGCGCUAGAGCAAUGCGAACAGCUUCUUCUCAAGCAGGGGAUUCAAUAAGAGUGGAUUCUGGGCAUCUGGCAUUUGUCCUGAGAACAGCUCCUUCUCUGCUCAGAGUAAAAGAGGCAAAGUGCUAACUACUAAGGAAAGAAAUUCCAUUCCCUAGGGCAGAUCUUCCUCUACUGGGAUUGACUCGCUUAGAAGGGGUCCCAUUCCAUUCCUUUGGCAAAGACCCGCUCUGACUAACUCCUUCUCUCAUUGAUCCGAAAAGAAAGGCAUAAGUCCCACAUCUCUUAGGCGCCAAGAGUCUCAGAUGUCCAUUCAAAACCAAUAGUAGCUCGGCAUCGGGAAUCACUGACUUUAUAAGAGAAUGGUCUCUUUGCUCUUCGCCCCUUGUCCAUUCCGCGCUUACUUGCCAAAGCUUGUCCACCCACCGCCCAUGCCCCUCUUCCUUCUGAAAAAAAAAGUCAGCCCCUAUACUUCUUUCUUACCUAACAGCCUCGUAGACGCGGGGAAUCGCUAAAAGUAUGUUUGAACGGUAAGGAAAGAGUCAGUUCGAGUCACUCUGCCUCUCUUAUACACUAUUUUCAGUUCCUUCCUUGGCUGACUUUUAUUAACAUAAAAUCUCUGUCUCGCCUUUAUCCCGCUUCUCCUAAGUUCCCUAAACCCCAACCUUCAAAGACUAAAACUCUUUCCCUUGUCUACUAAAAAAAGACACUACAAGAUCAGAUGAACUUCUCGAUUUCGAUUAUACGUCGUUCCUCUCUAUUAUUUUGGGGGCGCCCUCCUCGGUGACAAGAAUACGUUUCCAUGCAUCUUACUUAGAUUUUAAGAGCAAUAGCAUUCAAGGUGACUAUAACGCUUAAGACCGAUGAUCCAACCAAGACCGCGAUGGCCUUAGCUUUAGCGGCCCUAGUUGAUUGACUUGCUACCGCUAACUCGCUGUGCGCUCCCCCCGGCGCUUCGACAACAUUACCGCCUACAUCUGUACUACUUAUUCCGUCCUGAAUAGAAGCAUGGAGAGUCCGCCUUAGAUCGUCAAAAUCUAAAGCGGGCACGAACGGUUGAUUUAUUGUUGUACCAUGCUCUGGCAGGGCGGUCAACCAAAUGAAAAAGCCAAUGAAUAGAGGCGGCAAUAGAAGAUUCAAGACUGAUAACAAGACUCCCUUCGGAAUAGGCAAGACUACGGGAUUACGAAUCGCAACAUAAGGAUGAUUCGGAGAAAGAUUCACCUCUGGCAGAUUGGAGGAGAGAUUCCACUUUUGCAUUAAGAUAUACCGCUUGGGGACUUUUUCCCCAACGAAAUGACCCAAGCCUCGUUUGGGGGAACUAAGGUUGAGGUGCCCCCACUCUCCUCCUUCAAUAGGGCGGUAGAAGAUAGUGGGCCCGAUCGAGACCUUGACAACCCUUAUGGCCUUGAUCCCUUUCCCGCGGGGGAGUGCUCUAUUCAAUAAGUGCCCCUUGAGCCCUUUCUGGCCUGCCCAGAAAGCCCUUUGCGCGGUACUUUCGACCAAGAAAGAAUAGGUCAUGCUGGUAGCCGGAGGCAUCCCUCUCUUCAGGCUAGGUGGGUCCCCCCGUUCCGGCUCCCAUCUUGAGAAGAGAUCGUGAUUGCGACUGUCCGUCAAAAUCAGUCGCAAUCUUUUGGCAUAAUACUGGAGCAGCUGCUUUGAGUCUGCGCGCGCGCUAACCCGAGCGGGACUCAAAAUCUUCCCCCUCCGAUUAAACAUAUCUUCCCCUCCUUUGAGGGAUUGAAUAUUCAUCUCUUUGUUAGGAAUAUAAAAAGUGGCAAACAUUUCGAUCCUUCCUUUUACUAGUCUUCACGGCUGGAAUCAUAAAUGCAUUGUCUCCUUUUUUUUUGUUUCUUUGCUACCCCUGCUACCUCUCAUACCUGUUUCCUUCUGUAGUAUGAGUUGAGAAGAAAACGGAUUCAAUCCAGCCGUAGGUAGGGACGCCCACGGCUACCUUGUUUCGAACGAAUCGGAGAAGGGAUUGCACCCCACCCCUAGGAACGGGAACGGAGUUUGUCAGAGCUCGGGUAAGCAUUUUCUGACCGGCACGCUGGACCCUUCUAACAGAGGAAAGUCCUUUCCGACGGGUUUUUCGUAUUAGGCCAGGUCACUCUCAGCUAUACGACUGACACAAUUAGACUGAGGUAUGGCUGAUAAGAAAGCGUAGUGGCUAGCUACCGCUGAUUGCUUCGGGAAUCAUCCUCCAUGGUGACUGCAUGGAGGCCGGCUUGUCGAGGCCAACACCAUCCAGCCUGGUAUCGGAAUCGAGCGUGCAGGAACCGAGAUGCCGAGUUGUGGUCAGCGCGAACCGAAAUGAGGAAGAAGUCCCGACCAUCUCGAUUCCGGUGUGCAGAGGCCAGCUUUCCGCUCAGUACUUUAGGGCUCGGACAAGCAACGAGCCGGCUUCACGGCGCCCGAGGUGGCUUCCGCUCAGGAACAGAACAGGAAAAGGAAGUAGUAAUCCCGCAAAAUACACUACUCUCAAAAUAUAGACAAAGCUGUUCCCUUCUAAUGUAUGCCCCCGGUAAGGGGGGAAAUAUAUGACAUACACCUUUAUCCUUUCGUGUGAGAAAGAGAGAAGAAUUUUUUGAUGAGAACUUCUUCUUCUUCUCAUAGCACGAAUCCGGAUAAAAGACAUAAGACACGCGCGGGUCACUAUCUGUUCUUCGACCGCAAGAGGAGCUGAUUGAGAUUGUUUGAGCAACUCGCGUAAUCGUUGACCUCUUUCCAAUUGAUUCUGAAUAGCUUUAUCGAGAUCAGAAGCGAAUUGUGCAAAGGCUUCUAACUCUGCGAAUUGAGCUAGUUCCAAUUUUGAUUUGCCGGCUACUAGUUUCAUGGCUUUAAUUUGAGCUGCAGAUCCUACUCUGGAAACAGAAAUAAAAAAAUGAAUAGCAGGUCGGAUUCCAGCAUUGAAUAGAUCGGCGGAUAAGAAUAUUUUUCCAUCUGUAAUGGAAAUGAAAUUUGUAGGAAUAUAAGCUGAAACGUCUCCAGAUUGAGUCUCAACUAUUGGUAAAGCGGUCAUACUUUCUUCAUCUAAACGAGAACGUCGAUUUAGCGGCUCUUUCCAAAAGGCGUGAAUGCAAAAAAAAACAUCUCCUGGAUAAGCUUCACAACCAGGGGGUCUUAUUAAUAGAAGAUCAAUUUGGCGAUAAGCUUGUGCCUGUUUGGAGAGAUCAUCAUUUAUUUUAUAAUAAGUAUGUCGUUCACGGUACAGAAAAUAUUCAGCCAGAGCCGCUCCUGUAUAAGGAGCGAGGUAUUGUAAUGUAGCAGGUGAAUCCGCCGUUUCGGCUACCACAAUAGUGUAUUCCAUCGCUCCUCGUUCCUGGAAAGUAGUCACUACCUGAGCCACAGAAGAUGCUUUUUGACCAAUAGCUACAUAAACAUGUAUGACAUUUUGCCCUUUUUGGUUAAGAAUCGUAUCUGUGGCUACUGCUGUUUUGCCGGUCUGUCUGUCCCCAAUAAUGAAUUCUCGCUGACCGCGUCCUAUCCUAUAGGGAUCAUCGAAUCAAUAGCAAUAAGCCCCGUUUGAAGAGGCUCAUAUAAUAUACACGGAACGUCUCGAAAGAAUACCUGGGGCAGGAGAUUCAAUUAACCGAGAUUCAGAAGCUGAAAUUUCACCUCUCCCAUCAAUAGGUUUAGCCAGAGCAUUUAUAACACGACCCAAAUAAGCCUCACUCACAGGUAUCUGAGCAAUUCUUCCUGUUGCUUUUACAGAACUUCCCUCUUAUAUCAUCAAACCAUCACCCAUUAAUACAACGCCAACAUUAUUUGAUUCAAAAUUCAGAGCAAUGCCUAUUGUACCCUCUUCAAAUUCUACUAAUUCACCUGCCAUUACUUCAUCAAGACCAUGAAUACGAGCAAUGCCGUCGCCUACUUGAAGUACGGUGCCGGUAUUCACAAUCUUUACUUAUCUAUUAUAUUGUUAAAUACGUGCACGGAAAAGAUGACUUUCAUCGUCGGCUCGAAUGGUUUCAUGGUUGGAAGGUAGAGUGAGUCUGGGGAGGCCCGGAUGAAUGAUUGAGUCAGACUAUCUGGUAGAGCUUAAGAGCUUUACAACGCGGGCUUGGUUUAAGAUUUACCAAGUUACGAAGGCCGGAUUGAUUGAAGUGGGUGAUACGAUAGGAAAGGAGCCGAGAUUUGGCUAAGUAAGGAAGAAACAACUUAGUAUCCAAUUUCACUAAGUGAGGCCACUACUACGAAGUUGCGCGGAUACGAUAGCUUUCUUCAAAGACGCGGACGGAGGCUAAGUGGCAGAAAUCGCAAGCUUUUCAAACGUAAGGAGCAGUCGUCGUACGGACAACUACGAAGUAGAGGCCAAGGGGGCGGUGCGACUUCGUAGAAGUCAGAAGAUAGAAAGAAGUCCGAAAGAGAGAAGGCAGGGUCACGUCACGCGGCUCGUAGAGAAAGAUAACGUAGAAAGAAGUAGGCGAAGUAAAGAUUCAGUCGAUCAAUCUGCUUUCUGUCUUCAUUUCAAUCCCAUCCUUCUUUUCUUCUUUCCGUUACUCUCCAUUACAAAAGGCGAACAGCUAUUACUUUAGAGGCUCAUCCGUUUAAUUACCCCUCUGGGGGCACGGGGAAGGGAAUAGGACAUUCAUAUGGGUAUAGUGUAAUCAAGGGAGGAAAGCAAAAAGAGUGAUUGAUCAGGUAUCAUUUCGAUCCUGAUAGAAGAAGAGUACGCGCACUACGGCUUUUCAGCCUCCGUUUGCUGGAAGGCAAAACUCUUUUUUUUUUUUCUUUUCUCGACACUCAUAGAGUGGAUUCCAUUCCGAUGGGGCAAGAGUGGGAGACCCAUAUUGAGAUAAAGAUCCCGCGCCGCUAUUAAUAACCCUGGAUUCUUAACCACCAAAAGGAUAGGGCUUUAUCGGCCACAGAAACGGAAGAGCCGUCACAUGACAGCCCUAAAUAGUUAUAGGCUCUGACCGAAGAGCAAGCGAAGCGAGUCAAUUGCGUUGAGGCCAAAAUGCUUUGUCCGGACUCCACCCAAAAAAGAGAAAAAAAAACCAGCUCGGACCGUACCGUUGAGUUUGUUGCCCAUUUUUAGUAUCACAGUUGGGAGAAAGAAAUAAAGGUGAAAAGAUUAUACUUCUAAGAAGAGAGAAUUUGUUGGGAUUGUGGACUUUAGAUCAAGGAGUAAAUCGGAGUUUCAAAUCCGGAAGGAAGAUUGAGUUCGUAACCAUUUUUUCCUUUAAACUUGUAAACACUUUCGAAUCAGAGCCUUACCUUACAUCAGGUAUUGAUCGUCCCUCGACUGAAGCAGUGUCGGAAAGACGAGCGAGGUUUCCACUUGUGCUUUUCCCGGAUAGGUCAUUCUAAAGCAGGAACACUAUUUUGGACAGGAGUCGCGUACUUCUUAUAAAGGCCGACAAAGCUCUCUAGAAAACAGCCGCCGGAAGCCACACAUGGAAAGUCAUGUUCCUAGAGUAAGGAUUUCCACUCUUUUUUUUUCCGAUGAGAAAAACGAGGUUUAUUUUUUCCCAUUCCUCCAAACCCACAACAUGAACCUUUUUAUAUACCUAUUAAAAUGUACCCAGAACAACCGUCGACUCAUAAGCUAUGGCAUGCAGGUAUAACCGCCUAACGACCUAGAUAUUUCAUAAAGAGCUAUUUCUAUUGAGUUACCAAGCCCACCGAGAUCUAUUUCAGUAUUCGAAACACUACCGGGGCUCACCUCCCCUACUAAUCAAAAGCUCUUCGGGACAUCAGGCGAGAAACAACUACUCCGCCCAUCCACAGCUAUUAUGAUGAUAGAGAACCCGGGACACAGGAAUCACCUGGAUCUCAGCAAAGGGAGAGGAACCACUACGUACAGAGUUUGUAAAACAGCAACAGGGACAAGCCCACCGGGUUGAAAACCACCAUACUACCUAGAAAACCUAAACCUUUGUACAUGAAUGAAUGCACACUCACUACUCCCUAUAGUUAUCUAUCUAUCCAGAUAUAUACGAGAUCUCCUACCUAUCAGUCACCAACUUGAUACAUACGGGAACAACCCACCAACACAUCAAAGAUAAGUCUUAUAUGCAUUUUGAGCAUGGCACCGGUAGCUCUAAUAGCGAAGAAAAGGCGUGCGAGGACCCAUAGCUCCAUUUCACAGUCCUAUAAUCUAUGCUGUGCUGCAUUUCCAACACACUGGACCUUAGCUGUUCUCAGUAGGGGAAAUAGCGACUUCUAGCCGCAUGAAAUCAUGGAGUUGGCUUCUUCGUUACCUCGGGUUGGGAUUUUUCCCCUAUAGAAGAGAUGGCUCCCGAUCAUAAGCCACAGUUUUCUCAUGACUUGCAUAAUAAUAUUCCGGCCGGCCGGCCCUGUUUCGUCUUUCGAUCUUGGCAAAGAAGUUUCUAACCAGCACCAACUCAGAUUUAAGACGGCUUGCUAGUCGAAGAGGCAGUUGAUGUCAAUCUCGCGAGGACAGCCCCAAGAUGCCUCAUCUCCACCAUAAAAAGUCAUCCAUGUCAUUGUCGCGGAAGACUACCAUUCAAGAAUAAGAGCUUUUUCUCUUUGAUUUCGCUGGAUCCGACUCCAUGGAUCAUUUGGGACCCAUAAAUAGUCAAGUGCCAGCCAUCCGACGAGGAAAAAUAAGUCAUAUAAGAGCUGAAUAAAGAGAAAGAAGUGGUUGCUUGUUUGUUGCCAAGAAGAGGACCUAAGCGCUAGCUCUAUCCCGUCCCACUGGACUGCCCAGAUAUCAAUGCUCUCUCUCUCGUCUCUUGUCCUAGAGCGCGCCUCAUCAAGCCUAAUUCUCACUAGGGGGAGCCUUCGCUCCGCCUUCGGAGACUGUUCCGUAUGCUCUCCCUUCAUCUGUGCCUUUGACUGAGCUGUAUUCGACCUCUGUUUCCAUCAACGAUGUAACUAGAUCCGGUCGAAUAUACCAACCUGCUCAGUUGAGAGGAGCUGCGCCAGCCAUGCCAGAAGCGCAUGCACCCGCGCCAAGCAAGAAGGGGAGAUAUCCAAGAAACCUAUGAUGUGGCCCAGCAUUUGAAAAGGAUCCCGGCCAAAAUCUAUAAUCUCUAUUUUUGAUCUGUCUUUUGCAGACCUCGAAAUCUCAUCGCGAAGCCUUCCUCCAGGUCUACAAAAUGCUCAUGUCUCGCAAGGCACACCCCUCUAUAUAAUCUCCAAGAGAUGAUUGGCCAACUAGUGGCCCCACAGCCUAACAUUUUCUUUUCUCUUUCUAUUUUCAUUCUAGAUAGAGCAGUAAGAAGGAUCUCUUAUGCAAGCUUUCUUGAUGAAGGGUACCUCUUUCUAAAACAAAUUGUAAUCUUCCCUUCCUUUUAUAAUGGAUUUUUCUAGCCUCAAUGGCUAUAGCAUUUUCUAAGAUAGCAAUCCAAUCGUAAACCGUAAUCAGUGACACACAAAAGCCAAAUCAUAAACUUCGGAGCGAGUUCAAUAGUUUUCGAAUAGCUUCCGUCGAAUUACGCUUGAUGAUAAUUAAGUAGUGGAGUGGCAAGCAAGAGCAGAAGGAGGAAGGUGAGUAGGGUUGGUGAAAUGAUGCAAAAAGGCAUGAUGAGAUCUGAACCCCUACCUUGACUAAGAGAAUUAGGUUAUUCUUUUGCAGUUGGUCUUUGGUGCCUAUCCAUCCUAUGCCUCGUACGUAGUAUAAAUCAGAACUGAAAACUCUUUUAUACCCGGAAAAAACUUUUAUUCAUUCCCUUGAUUUGGCUAUUCAUUCUAGCAACAAUCGUCAAACACGGCAUAGCAACAGCGGCUAGCUACUUCCUUAAGUUAGAAGCAGAGGUAGGACUAGUCUGGGUAUGAAUCAAAUCCUUUCCUAGGGUGAGUCCUUAUGUAAAUGUAAGUAGAAGGCAGCCAUCUAAGAGAUGUUACUAGUCUGUAUGCAAAGCCUCCUAGUCCCAUCCCCUUCUGUAAUAGGAACUCCCUGCGGGCGCUAUCCUAUAAGCAGACGCAACUAGAAGACAUUAUUGUCUUUAUCUAAGUUAGAGGCUUUUAUAUAGCUUAAACCCUUUCCUUUUCCCAGGUAUUCAAAAUAAUCUUUCUAAAGUGCGGAUGAGAGAACCAGACAGCUUCACACCUGAAGGGACGAUUAGAGGGUUUAGCAGAAUGCAUACCUUCCAUGUAAAUGAUCAUAGGAUAGUAGUCUGAGGUGGUACGAGGGAUGUUUCCAACCACAGCUUAUGGUAAAAUCUCUUUCAACUUCUACUUUACUAAGGCUAGAUCCAAUCGAAGCAGCGUCUUAGCUAACCCUUCCCUACCAUUGGUCCAAGUGGUCUAGGACUACAGCAUGCCAAAUCCAUUAGACCACAACGAUGAAAUUUGAUGCAAACUGAAUCAGAACAGUCUCUGAUUCAGACUGGAUUUCGAACAUCGUCCCGGUUCAACAUAUAAACCUAUUUCUUGGUCAACAACCUAUAAAAAGGAAAACAAAUAUUAGUACAGGAAGGACUCUUUUUUUGUACGGAGAGAAAAUAAAAGCAAAUGAGCUAAUGGGAAUAUUUAAAGUUCAUUUUUUUAGACAACUAUGCUGACAAUUCUUAUAUAUGUUGUUUGCCCUCGCGGGGAUACCUGCGCGGGAGAGGAUACCUCUCAUCUUUUUUUAUUCCAAUAAUGAAUGCAUUUUUUUAUUGGCAAAAGUGCCAUCCUCUUUUUUUGGAAGAGAGGAGGGACUCCAUAUAUGCCGACAUUACUGAGGCGCCGCCCUUCCAUAUGGAUCCUCGUGGAUGUGGAAAUCACACGUGUGUUAACCUCCUUAUGUUCAGGAGAGGUCCCUUUUCUACCCGACGGGUGGUAAACAUGGGGGGACAUCUCCAAUUGGGUAAAUGGCGACUCACAUGACCCCGAUUUUCUAUUUGUUUGAAAUAGUAUAGACGAGAUGAAGAGGAAUGGGGUCGAUAGCAAAUGGUUCAAAGAAGCGGUACGAUUCCUAACCGAUUUUUUGAACUUAAUCAAUUCCUCUCUUCCCCUUUUUAGCCAACACCAUCAACCUUGGGCAAAGCCAAAAAUUUGAUGAAUAGAAGGAGAUCAGAAAGAUACGCGGACGACUUGACCAUAAGGUCGGAUGUUUCCGUGAGCAGUAAGCUGCGGAUCUCCCCUUUUUGGGGGGGAAAGCUGGUGGCCCUUUUGGCGUGUUAAUUCUUUCGACGGGGCGGCCUGAUUCGUUCGGUAGAUCCGGUCGAGGUGGUUUUCGUUUACCAGCGCGUAGGUGGUCUAAGUUCCUAUGACCGAGUCUUUCUGGCCCCUGUGAACAUAUUUUCUUAAUGUAUUAAAGAGGGCCUCUCUAACCGGUGAAAAGUGGUAGGUGUCCACUAACGGCUAUUCCUGGCUCGGCUCCGAUAACGCAAUUCCGGGAGGAGUCGGUAGUUGGGCACUGGAUCCCUUCGGACCUGGAGAACGUGUGACGCUGGGUCGGGGUUUGGUGAACCAACAGGUCGCUCCUCUAGUUGAAGUAUCGGGCCCCUUUUUCGUUGCCUAGGUUACACCUUCGGAAUACCCCAGACGGGGAUUUCGCUCUACUCCCCCCAAUCUUCACUUUAGGCCACGCCGACUCUCCGUCGUGGAAUUAGACCAAGGGGAAUCCCCAUAGGACCCCGUCUCCCGUAUCUUAUCUUUCGCACGUAGGAGAUCGAGACACAGCCUCAGGGCUAUGGGGAAAGUAGAUCGAUUGCCCUAGAUAGACAACUACAUAGAGGGUCUCUACAAGUCUAUAAAGAAGUUUCAAAAAAUUUUUCGGUAGUAGUCCGGUCGCACCCGAACAAUAAUAUUCCAGAGGGAAAUGCACCUAAGAUCAAAUAUUUUGAGCCGGCUUCCGUGGAAAAUUCAGACUUUCUUUUUGAUGCUGCGAUCACAUAAAAACAUAAACUUUGAGGCUCAAUAGCUAAAUACAUGGCAAUUGAAUCAUGAGCCGGGAUCAUUAAGAGCAUACUGCGAGUAGGAAGUGGAAUUAAUACAAUGGAUUCAGAAGCAUCAAACCUCUCUUGUUCGAAAGAAUCGAAACACAUCGAAAUGGUACCAGCCGUACUUAAUAAUGGAAGGAUUUGGCAGAAAUAUGUAGAAUUGUCCCUCCUAAAAAGAUUAUUCCGGAAUAAAUGGGCAAUAGUUAGGAGAGGUGCGCCAGCGGCGAGCAGAAGCAAGGUUAUUAGAUACCGAAGGAAAGCCCGGCCAGAACCACACGUGCAAGUUUCCCUGCAUGUGGCUCGUCCGUGAUAACUUCUUCGGAUUUGCGUGAACUAGCGGACCGAUCACUAAGUGGGAUGCUCCCUCCAGCAUGAGCGAACCUUUUCAGAACUGCUUAGGAAUGGGCGCCACUAUCCCAGCCCGGAUCCAGCCAGGUUCUAUUGAUCAUGUCCCCUUCCCAACAGUUGUACCUUGUCUUGGGGCGUCUUUGGCUUUACUCGAUCAAGCCCGCCGGAAAAAGAAAAGUCUUUCUCUUCCCGUCCCGGGUCAUAGUGAGGCGGAGGUGCGUCCACAGAAGAGGAAAGAGCAAUGCAUCUUGCUCAGCAGGCGUAGCUUGGAGUGGGAGUGUUGCGGGGGAAAGGUAAGGAAAGUGGCCUAAGAGAGGAAGCCAAACCAACCAGGGCCUAUUGAGCGCAGCUAAGCUAAUAUGCGCCGGAGAAAAGAAAGCUUACGGAGGUAAGCUCUAUUCGGUCCGGAGCAUUGAUUCCCCAUAACGAAUAGGCUAACUCUAUCUCUCAAUUGCCUAUCCUGUGCUCGAGAAGGUCCCCCAGUUCCUCGGCUGCACCUCGAGGUGCAUUUAGUUGUCUAACUUUAUACUCGGGAUAUUCCCCACUCCAUGGCACCUUUCGCUCAUCUAUUCAGCCCGCCCGUCCAGACGCGGUGCCCUUUCGCAUUAUCAUCUACCGCCCUUUCUUUCCUCCCGUCCCUUCACGCAUGAAGAUCGUCGUAUGUAUGUUCGACUUCGGUUGCCGGUGCAAUAGAAUAGGUAGGAGUACAUUAUGGCAGGAUCAGUCACCUGGGCAAACCAACCUUCCUCCAAGAAGAAUUGUGCUAUGCCCCCCCGAUAUCCCUAUAGAGCGAAAGAGCUGCCUGGUGAUCCCUAGGUUGCAGCACGUCCGGUCGUUAACUCCUCGCGCCGCUGCCGCCGUUUCUAGGACCGACCGACGCCUCACCUGCACAGGUACCUACGUAGUGUAGUGUCGGUCGCACAUUCAUAAUAGCGUUCGGACUCAUGUGCCUUCCAGAACCAGGGGAGUUCCCUUGCUCCUGCUGCGUACGAUUAGCCAGCCUUGCGGCGGCAAAAGGAUUAGGACGUCCCCCCAUGCUACGGUUCCCUGCGGUCCGGCCGCAUUAGGUUAGGGAGCUGGGCGAUAAUAGCUCCUCCGCAUCCCAAGCGCGCUGCCCUCCUAGGCGCGCAACACUAAGUAAUCCAAGCCAACCCACAUUACUGACUAACGGUGGAUAAUCAUCUUUCUUAGAGGUACUAAAUACAACUCCAUGAAUGAGCAAAAUGAAGGUUGCGUUAAUGAUAAAGAUCUCUGGGGAAACCGCUAAAAAAAGAUUGAACAUGUGGGAGGGAGGAGAGAUAACGAAUUCUGCUUUCAUUUCCCCCGUUUUCAAAAUCACAGAGUUACUUACGGAAUGUCAAAUCUUUCUCGACGCCGGCCAGGCCGGACAUCAAAUUGAGGGGGCCCACCUCACCUCUCCCCUUCCCCUGGUCAAUGGCGGUGACUUGAUUGACCAGGGCCGCCCCACUACCCCCCUACGACGAUUUUUCGAUUGGUCUUCGGACCAAGUCGAAGAGGAAGCGCUCGUUCAUGUCGUCCCCCCACCGCUCGGGUUGACUCUCUCUCUUGAUAGCAUUUAAGAGAUUUCGGAGAGCGUUGACAUCGGCUUCCGGGGACUGAUACUCAAAAUUCUGGGCCAUUUCAUCCGCAGAUCCGAGAAAGUCGAAGCUUUCUCUGCCUCUUGCGCAGUAUUUGCCGCAGAAAGAAGCCCAUACCCCCACAAUAAUGUUUGCAAAAUUUUUUUAGGAGUAGGGCGUCAGCCUUACGAAUUUGCUUUCGUAGUUUCUCCUUUUGAGCAUCAUUAUCGUCGUUAGGAAGGCCGGGGGCGGCGGGCCCGCGUGGAGCCGGGGUGCCGUCGGCACCAAUCCGUUGGUCUUGCGUUUCCAUAAGGUAAGUCCAAGCCGACCUCCAUAAAGCGCGAACCAACAUCCGUGAUACGAAAACAAAAAGAAGAAGUAGGACCAAACCGAGAGUUAGCAGUAUUUCCAAGGAUGGACUUCGCGCUACGGAAUGAAUCGAGGAACUGAGGACAUUUCCAAUACCGAAAAAAUCGGCACCACCCAUUGAUUUUGCACCUUCUAACAUCUCGAGACGAUAAUUUGCUCGUCACGUUCCUUCGCUGCUCUUUCCUGGAUUCUUCGUCGAUUCCUCUUCCCCACCCCGCGAUCCAUAGUAUAUUCCAUUGAUAGAGAGCCAAUUCCAAUAGACUUAUUGAACGUUCCCAUUGGCGUGCAUCCAGUAGGAAUUGAACCUACGAAUUUGCCAAUUAUGAGUUGGGCGCUUUAACCAUUCAGCCAUGGGCGAGUGAACUAGGUCUUUUUUUGGGGUUCCAGAAAGAACGUCAAAGAAAGGUGACUUAGACUUCUCCUUCGACUGAGACGGAGACUGAACGAGCUGCUUCGGAAAGUCAUAUGGGUCUUUUGGCUCGCAAUAAAGCUAGGGUCCUGAUCGAGCAAGACGUAGUCCUAUCUAUCUACCUCUCCAGACACAAUAUCUUGAGUACCUAUGAUGGUGACUACAUCUGCUGGCAUGUGAUGUUUGGACAUAGAAUCGAGUCCUUGUGAAUGGGCAGAGCCAGGUGCUCUUAUUUUACGACGGUAGGGACGAUUGCUUCCAUUACUGACAAGAAAGACACCAAAUUCUCCUUUAGGUGCUUCAACUGCGGUAUAGGUAGAAGGAGCUGGUACGGAAAAACCUUCUGUAUAAGGUUCGAAAUGGUGAAUUGAGGUAGAGUAGACCGAUGAUCCUGUAGUCAUUUGGCCGGCUAUGGAAAGAAAAAGCUUGCAUCUGCUCCCCCUAAACUAUAACUGGUCCCAUCUCUCUCCAAACCUAACGUGGUAGUUUCCCAUCAUAGGGCUUUCUAUCUAUAGAUUGAGCCAUUACCCACCAAGGAUCCCAUUCGUUCAGAAUGAAGUUGACUGCUUCUAUGGAUAAGGCGGAGCGUCCUUGGUUCAGCAUUAUAGCACAUAGGCUUCGGCGCUACUACAGCGCUUCGCUAACUCGAAGCGCCUCGCUAUGAGAAUGACGCUUCGCUAACGCGUUGCGUUGUCAGCUUUGCUACCGACGCUUCAUCUUAAGUGCUUUGCUACCGAGGCUCAGCAUAAAGGACGCUCCUAUCUAUAGAAGCGCUUCGUUCCGCUUCGCUAACGCUCGGCUAAGUCGUCGAACCCUCGCGCUGACCGUUCGCUUUCUCAGUAGCGAAAGCGCUUCUCUUUGCCCCUUAACUUAAAUAGAAGGACAAGAAAGAGAUUAUUGGUUUUCUUGCUCCCGCUUCUUCAUCUGCGCUCGUCAAGCCAACUUAGCUUUUUGGGAGGUGAAACAGCGGUUGAAGCGGACAUUUCGAAAUGACAGCAUCGAAGAUAUUUAUAUACACGGUCACGGUUAUUCCGGACUGCGUUCCGGAAAAAGUAGCCUACUUGACAGAAAGGGCGGGCACUCUCGGCUCGGAGGUAGGCACUCUCGUGUUUCAACCCCACGUUACUUUGAUAGUUGUGGGGCACUGUGUACUUACAGCCUCUACGAGUUGCAAGUGAAUGGGGCCGGUGCGUGGCGAACGGAACGGUUCAUCAAGCCAUUUCUCGCCUCAACCCCCUAAAUAGGAAGAGGGGUACUUUACUAAUAGGGGGCAAUUGCAUCGCACCUGACUGUGAGGGACCUCUCGAUACCUUAUCACUUCGUAACUAGUGGCCGGUUUCCCGUCGCGGAAGCCUUUUCCCAGUGCGCGGAGCCCCAACGAGGAAGGUGUUAGUGGUUUCUCAUGGGGUCAAUAAUGCGUCUCCCUCUUUUUGUGCUACUCCUACGGGAAGAAGAUAAGAAAACGCGAAGCGUUCUCUUGGUUUCCCAACCUGUUGCUUCUAAAGGCUGCCCUCUCUCGGCUGGAUUUUGGUCCAGCCUACUACGAGGAUCCCGUAUCCCGUACAUCGUCUUUCUCCCUCCUGGGUUCCCGUGGUUCCUAUGCCGCCGCGUUUCCCGGUCCUUUUCUUUUAGUGCUUCGACCCGAAGCGAUAGCUUGACGCUAGUUCAGUGGAUAAGAUGGCUGCGCUCCAGCUCACUAAAGAAUGGGACGGCAGUGGUCCGCCGGCAAGCUCGUUCUGAUCUUGGACGCAGUACAUUGGAAUCCUGAAGCACCACCACGAACGCUACCGCGCGUGCGCCUACGGUGCGGUAAGGCACCACCCUGUUGUGCCAGCAGCCAACUCCGGCGUGUCAGCUUAGUUAUCCUCAUCAAGCCACAACCUUGAUGUCUAGCUUCCCAACUGGUAGACGGUUCCCUUUCCCCCAGAUCAAUGAAGAAGGGAGAAGUCAGUUGAUUCUUCCGAAGAACCGGAAGCGAAGCGCUAUGCCGGGGCGAGGGGACGGGAAAAGAAACUGCUCCGAAGAAAGAUAUUGGGGUUCCCAAUGCUUCUCCACGCCCAACGAGAUGCGCCAACCUCGGGAUGCUUUACUCCUAACCCCACGACGGUUCCGAGACGGAGCUUAACCUGAGUCUCGGUUAAGAACGGCGAUGAUCUACGUUUCACACGGCGCACGAUUCCAUGGAUAGUUUCAUUCGACAUCGUGAUGGAGGACAUAGCUUACGAUCAUCGGCUUUGAUCAUGCCACUAGGCAUUUGAUUAGGACAUUGCACAAUGAUCCGAACACUUUGUCGCAUCUCUUCGAUACGGAUACAGUAACGAUCAUAGCGAUCUCCUCUGGUACCUACUGGUACGUCAGGAUCCGAUUGGUCAUGAACAUCGUAAGGUGCUGCUCUUCGCGAAUCCCAGCAUACCCCAGGUUGGGAUGGGUAGGCCCACCACUUCACUUUCACUUAGGCCCGGGCCAAGUCAGUGGGGGGACCCUGUCGGGCUCCUUCCCCCCCAAAACAAACUGUACGUGGGAGUUUCCCUUCAUACGGCUCGAAUCAUUCUCAGAUGCCCCGAGAGGCAUCUUUCCUUAAUUGGGUGGUUCACGCGCGCGCAAACGAGCACCGGCCGCAACAGCAAGGAACUAUGACCAAUAGAGUCAGACACAGAGCGUCAUACUUUUUUUCUUGUGAUGGUUGAGGAGUUUCUUUCUCUGAGGGUGCGGGACGCUCGCGGAGUCCGUGCCUUCCGUACCACCACAGGUCGUUCUUGGGCAGAUCCCGCUCCUAAACAUAAGGGAGGGAUAGGGGGAAGGGGGCCGGGCCUAUCAUAUAAAGAGGGUUGUUUAAAGAGAACCCGGCCACCUAUUUUCAUUCGACGUUCCGGGGCGCCCGAUUCGAUCGACGAAUUCGGCGAGCUGAUCUGCUUUGAUCCAGGAGAAAGCCCAGUCAGCCACCUUUUCGGUGUAGGUCACGUGACCUACAGCUCGGUCUUCGCUUUUUGAGACUUCCUCUACCCACAUCUCUAUGUGCCCGCAGCACUUCCAUAUGGAGAAAGAUGGGCUUACCAUGUUCCAUCAAUAGCACCUAACCUAUGCCGAUUUUGGCGGACCGUGCUCCACCCCGGUGAACUCAUGCGGUUCCGACGUGCCCAGAGGCCAGAGGCGAAUCCGUUCACGGUCCUACGGACCAACACCAUUCGAAGGUGGAUGGCCCGCCCCGCCUAGAAUAGGAAUCUUUGACUGGGCUUACACACAUUCGCUCACUUACGCUGUCCCCCCUCAGCUCACCCUAGCCCCGGGUACGUCGUCUCCAAGGCUUCACACAAAAUCUUCACUGACAACAUAUGCAUGCUUUUGUAGGGUCAGGCAGAACCGUUGUUGCCUGAUGGGAACUUCCCCCAUAUUGCUAUCAAUGUCUUCAUGUCGCACGACCUCUUAACAUUACACCACUGAAUCCCCAAUCCUUUGCUUGCUGUGCAGUGACAGUACCAAUAUCCACUAAUCGUUGUUUCCAGAUACGGUUGCCGGUUGACAUCUCUUCUAAUUCGUCGAUACGAGAAGCAAAUUGUUGUGUGGAGGAAUCAAUAUCUCGACAUAAGCCAAGAGGCAGAUCUUGUGCCACUCCACCAGGUCGUAUGAAACUGGCAUGCAUCCUGGCUCCCGGGACUCUUUCAUAGAAUUCCAACAAUUUCUCCCGCUCCUCAAAAGCCCAAAGGAACGGAGUUGAUGCUCCCACAUCCAUAGCAUGAGUAGUUGAAGCAAGUGAAUGAUUUGAAAUUCGAGUUAUUUCACGGAAUAACACUCGUAUAUAUUGAGCUCGUAAUGGUACCUCGAAAUUCAAAAGUCUCUCUACGGCUGAAGAAUGAGCGUGUUCUUGGGCCAUCGUAGAAACAUAGAUAGGGUCGACGACGGAACGAACAACGAAACUUUACGACAGCUUUUUCGUACACGUUCACUUGCAUCACAUACACAAGUGCUCUCUGAACCGUGCAAUAAGGUCACCCAUAACACGGCUCUCCCACUGGAGUGACCUUAGCCCCGGGCCAUGCUAUUCAAUGAUAUUGGAAAAAUGGCAGCGUAACUUUUUUUUAUAAUCGUCUUGAAAGCUGGGCGCCUUUUGAGGGAGGGAAAGCGUUUCAAUAGGAGCCCUACUUCUUUCAGUAGCAAACAUAUUAAGAGUUUCCGGGCGGAGCGCACCUUUGGUACUUCAGUAGGGCAAGCAGUUUGAUAGUGACUUCUUUCUUAGGGUAGGGCGACGAAAGGCUACUUCAAUGACGGAAACGUCAUAGGGUCGCCUUUGGAAGCUAAAGCGGCGAAAGUUGUUGAAAGCCGGGAGAAAAAGCGAAAGCUUGCUCGAAACGGCCCUUGACCCUAACCCUCGGAAGCGAAGACGCAAAGCGUCACUUUUCAAAAGGAAGGAGUGAGGCUGACUGAAUCCAUCCAUAAACCCGGAAACGAAACGAAGUUCGUUCCC
This 23129-nucleotide long non-coding RNA is filed under the name Phoenix dactylifera (date palm). RNAcentral's name for it is "long non-coding RNA (PDAC_LNC000001)". Lineage: Eukaryota; Viridiplantae; Streptophyta; Magnoliopsida; Arecales; Arecaceae. The record is from RNAcentral.